CCCCAUAACGUGGUUCCCCCCCCCAGGUCUUGUCAGGGUCUACGUCUACAUGGGCUACAUCAUGAAGAUGCUGACCCUACAAAUCUUCCCCAUCUUCGCUUUCCACCCCAUGUACCUGGCCAUAAUGCAGUUGAAGGAAGUCGUGUUGGAUUCCACUGCACUGAUACGUGUUGGGCACAAUGGGAGCACAGUGUGAGUUGGGGCAUCAAACCUAAACCCAUUUUGGGGUCAUUUCAGCCUUUUUUGGGGUCAUUUCAGCCUUUUUUGGGGUCAUUUCAGCCUUUUUGGGGGUCAUUUCAGCCUUUUUUGGGGUCUUGGAGGUGAUGGUUCUGCUUUGAGGGUGGGAUCUGCCUGAGGAAAAAGCCAAAUUUGGGGUGAAAAUGGCUCAUUUUUACCCCAAAAAUGCCUCUAGAUAGGGAAGAAGGAGGAGGAUGGAGGAAUAGAUUUAGGGCCAUCCUCCCAUCACCCCCUAUGGGGCAUUAAUGGGGUCAAUGGGGGGAGCAUCACCCCCUAUGGGACGUUAAUGGGGUCAGUGGGGGGGGAAUCACCCCCUAUGGGACGUUAAUGGGGUCAGUGGGGGGGGAAUCACCCCCUAUGGGAUGUUAAUGGGGGGGGAAUCACCACCUAUGGGAUGUUAAUGGGGUCAAUGGGGGGGGAAUCACCCCCUAUGGGGUGUUAAUGGGGGAGGAAUCACCCCCUAUGGGACAUUAAUGGGGUCUAUGGGGGGGAAUCACCCCCUAUGGGACGUUAAUGGGGUCAAUGGGGGGGAAUCACCCCCUAUGGGGCGUUAAUGGGGUCAAUGGGGGGGAAUCACCCCCUAUGGGACAUUAAUGGGGGGGGAAUCACCCCGUAUGGGACGUUAAUGGGGUCAAUGGGGGGGGAAUCACCCCCUAUGGGACGUUAAUGGGGUCAAUGGGGGGGAAUCACCCCCUAUGGGACGUUAAUGGGGUCAAUGGGGGGGGAAUCACCCCCUAUGGGACAUUAAUGGGGUCAAUGGGGGGAGAAUCACCCCCUAUGGGAC
Molecule: long non-coding RNA, 1021 nt
Filed under: Coturnix japonica (Japanese quail)
Lineage: Eukaryota; Metazoa; Chordata; Aves; Galliformes; Phasianidae
Description: lncRNA (ENSCJPG00005002500.1)
Source: RNAcentral